This 2293-nucleotide small RNA is filed under the name Pan troglodytes (chimpanzee). Its description in RNAcentral is "retained intron". The record is from RNAcentral. Lineage: Eukaryota; Metazoa; Chordata; Mammalia; Primates; Hominidae.
UUCAACACGCUGAUGGCAGUCACAGGGGGCCUGUGUCACAGUGCCAUCUCCAGACUCAAGGACUCCCAUGCCCACCUGAGCCCUGACAGCACCAAGGCCCUCCUGGAACUCACUGAGCUCCUUGCCUCCCACAACAACUACGCCCGCUACCGCCGCACCUGGGCUGGCUGCGCGGGCUUCCGGCUGCCUGUACUGGGCGUGCACCUCAAGGACCUGGUGUCCCUGCAUGAGGCACAGCCCGACAGGUUGCCUGACGGCCGCCUGCACCUACCCAAGCUGAACAACCUCUACCUGCGGCUGCAGGAGCUGGUGGCCCUCCAAGGGCAGCAUCCACCCUGCAGCGCCAAUGAGGAUCUGCUGCACCUCCUCACGCUCUCCCUGGACCUCUUCUACACGGAAGACGAGAUCUAUGAGCUUUCUUAUGCCCGGGAGCCGCGUUGUCCCAAGAGUCUGCCACCCUCCCCCUUCAAUGCACCUCUGGUGGUGGAGUGGGCCCCUGGUGUGACACCCAAGCCGGACAGGGUCACACUGGGUCGGCAUGUGGAGCAGCUGGUGGAGGUAAGGAGGGGAGGGUGGCCCGGCCACCAGCAGCCAGGAGGGAAGACAUCUGUAGAACCCUGAGCCUGGAGGCGGGGACUUAUGGCCAUGGGGAUCAUAUUUCAACAACUGGGCCUUAUCUGCUUCCCCACACUCCUCUGAAGUCUGUGUUCAAGAAUUAUGACCCUGAAGGCCGAGGAACAAUCUCUCAGGAGGACUUUGAGCGACUCUCGGGCAAUUUUCCCUUUGCUUGCCAUGGGCUUCACCCACCCCCACGCCAGGGGAGAGGAUCCUUCAGCAGAGAGGAGCUGACAGGGUACCUGCUCCGGGCCAGCGCCAUCUGCUCCAAGUUGGGCCUGGCCUUCCUGCACACCUUCCAUGAGGUUACCUUCCGAAAGCCUACCUUCUGCGACAGCUGCAGUGGCUUCCUCUGGGGUGUCACCAAGCAAGGCUACCGCUGUCGGGAGUGCGGGCUGUGUUGCCACAAACACUGCAGAGACCAGGUGAAGGUAGAAUGUAAGAAGAGGCCAGGGGCCAAGGGCGAUGCAGGACCCCCCGGAGCUCCUGUCCCAUCCACACCAGCUCCCCAUGCCAGCUGUGGCUCCGAGGAAAAUCACUCCUACACGCUAUCCCUGGAACCUGAGACUGGGUACCAGCUUCGCCAUGCCUGGACCCAGACUGAAUCCCCACACCCUUCCUGGGAAACAGAUACGGUCCCCUGCCCGGUGAUGGACCCACCAUCAACUGCAUCCUCCAAGCUGGAUUCCUAGACAUCUCUUGGUCUCCUCUCUUCCUCACUCCCUUCCCCCAGUCAGUCCUGAGUCCUGUCGUCAGACUCUGGCAGGGCUCCCAGAGGUAGGCCUCCAGAGGCAUCCGCCUUCCCAUCCACACUGCCUUUAGUGGUACGUCCAUCAUCUUUUUCCCUGGAAGUGACUUUCCUCUUUUGCAUCCUGGUGGAUGCUAAUCCUGCUCCCUUUCCCUGCACUUAGUAUCUGUGCGGCUGUGUGUUGGAUACAUUUAGACUCAGGCCUCAUUCUACCACCUCCCUACAUCUCCAUUUCUUUUUUUUUUUUGAGACAGAGUCUUGCUCUGUCACCCAGGCUGGAGUGCAAUGAUGCAAUCUCAGCUCACUGCAACUUCCGCCUCCUGGGUUCAAGUGAUUCUUCUGCCUCAGCCUCCCAAGUAGCUGGGAUUACAGGCACGCGCCACCAUGCCCGGCUAAUUUUUGUAUUUUUAGUAGAGACGGGGUUUCCCCAUGUUGGCCAAGAUGGUCUCAAACUCCUGACCUCAUGAUCCACCAGCCUCAGCCUCCCAAAGGGCUGGGAUUACAGGCGUGAGCCAACGCGCCCAGCUCCUGCUUUUCUGCAUAGAACGUUCUCCCUCUGACAGCCUAUACUUUUUCCCUCUUUAUCUCGUUGAACGUCUGUCUUUCCUCAACAGGAGCAUCAACUCCAGGAGAACAGGGAUUUCUAUCAAUGUCAUUCACUGCUGCAUCCCCAGUGCCUAGAACAGGGCUGGCAGGUGGUAGGCGCCUGACAGAUGCUUGUCUGAUGCCUGAAUGUCUCCUUACCCAUGCCCACGGCGCAGGAUAGAUGUGCUAUAGGGCAAAGAACUUUGAGGGUCGAGCAGCAGGGGCCCAUUCAGUCCCAGGGAGCAGAGACCCCCCCCCCACCCCUUCACAAACCCCAACACCCCUGACUUGGCCCCCACAGAGAGAGGUCCUACAGCUGUCAUAAAUUAAAUUUAUUCUCUGGAG